RNAcentral lists this ribosomal RNA (492 nucleotides) under uncultured bacterium. RNAcentral's name for it is "partial 16S ribosomal RNA". It matches the Rfam family "Bacterial small subunit ribosomal RNA", at positions 29 to 507 of the family's 1533-position model. The record is from RNAcentral.
AGUGAACGCUGGCGGUAGGCCUAACACAUGCAAGUCGAACGGCAGCACAGUAAGAGCUUGCUCUUACGGGUGGCGAGUGGCGGACGGGUGAGGAAUACAUCGGAAUCUACUUUUUCGUGGGGGAUAACGUAGGGAAACUUACGCUAAUACCGCAUACGACCUACGGGUGAAAGCAGGGGAUCUUCGGACCUUGCGCGAUUGAAUGAGCCGAUGUAGGAUUAGCUAGUUGGCGGGGUAAAGGCCCACCAAGGCGACGAUCCGUAGCUGGUCUGAGAGGAUGAUCAGCCACACUGGAACUGAGACACGGCCCAGACUCCUACGGGAGGCAGCAGUGGGGAAUAUUGGACAAUGGGCGCAAGCCUGAUCCAGCCAUACCGCGUGGGUGAAGAAGGCCUUCGGGUUGUAAAGCCCUUUUGUUGGGAAAGAAAAGCAGCAGGUUAAUACCCCGCUGUUCUGACGGUACCCAAAGAAUAAGCACCGGCUAACCUCGUG